RNAcentral lists this ribosomal RNA (208 nucleotides) under uncultured bacterium. Its description in RNAcentral is "partial 16S ribosomal RNA". It matches the Rfam family "Bacterial small subunit ribosomal RNA", at positions 568 to 774 of the family's 1533-position model. The record is from RNAcentral.
CGCGUAGGCGGCACCGCAAGUCGACUGUGAAAUCUCCGGGCUUAACCCGGAACGGUCAGCCGAUACUGCGGGGCUAGAGUGCAGAAGGGGCAACUGGAAUUCUCGGUGUAGCGGUGAAAUGCGUAGAUAUCGAGAGGAACACCUGCGGCGAAGGUGGGUUGCUGGGCCGACACUGACGCUGACAGCGCGAAAGCCAGGGGAGCAAACG